This 491-nucleotide ribosomal RNA is filed under the name uncultured bacterium. RNAcentral describes it as "partial 16S ribosomal RNA". It matches the Rfam family "Bacterial small subunit ribosomal RNA", at positions 28 to 507 of the family's 1533-position model. The record is from RNAcentral.
GAUGAACGCUAGCGAUAGGCUUAACACAUGCAAGUCGAGGGGUAACGUGUUGGUAGCUUGCUUCCGAUGACGCCGACCGGCGGAUGGGUGCGUAACGCGUAUGCAACUUGCCUCACAGUGGAGAAUAACCCGGAGAAAUCCGGACUAAUACUCCAUACACUCUUAAGUACGCCUGUACAUGAGAGGAAAGAUUUAUCGCUGUGAGAUAGGCAUGCGUCCUAUUAGGUAGUUGGUGAGGUAACGGCUCAACAAGCCGACGAUAGGUAGGGGUGCUGAGAGGCAGAUCCCCCACGUUGGGACUGAGACACGGCCCAAACUCCGACGGGAGGCAGCAGUGAGGAAGAUUGGUCAAUGGAGGAAACUCUGAACCAGCCAAGUCGCGUGAAGGAAGAAUGUCCUAUGGAAUGUAAACUUCUUUAGCGAGCGAGUAAGGACUUCCACGUGAUGGGAGUUUGAAAGUAGCUCGAGAAUAAGUAUCGGCUAACUCCGUG